Molecule: transfer RNA, 76 nt
Filed under: Streptomyces sp. CC71
Lineage: Bacteria; Bacillati; Actinomycetota; Actinomycetes; Kitasatosporales; Streptomycetaceae
Description: tRNA-Thr
Rfam family: tRNA
About the family: Transfer RNA (tRNA) molecules are approximately 80 nucleotides in length. Their secondary structure includes four short double-helical elements and three loops (D, anti-codon, and T loops). Further hydrogen bonds mediate the characteristic L-shaped molecular structure. tRNAs have two regions of fundamental functional importance: the anti-codon, which is responsible for specific mRNA codon recognition, and the 3' end, to which the tRNAs corresponding amino acid is attached (by aminoacyl-tRNA synthetases). tRNAs cope with the degeneracy of the genetic code in two manners: having more than one tRNA (with a specific anti-codon) for a particular amino acid; and 'wobble' base-pairing, i.e. permitting non-standard base-pairing at the 3rd anti-codon position.
Source: RNAcentral
GCCGCCUUAGCCCAGAUGGCCAGAGCAAGCACUCGUAAUGCGUAGGUCUCGGGUUCGAAUCCCGAAGGCGGCUCCA